RNAcentral lists this ribosomal RNA (262 nucleotides) under uncultured bacterium. RNAcentral's name for it is "partial 16S ribosomal RNA". It matches the Rfam family "Bacterial small subunit ribosomal RNA", at positions 514 to 775 of the family's 1533-position model. The record is from RNAcentral.
GCCGCGGUAAUACGGAGGGUGCAAGCGUUAAUCGGAAUUAUUGGGCGUAAAGCGCGCGCAGGCGGUUCCUUAAGUCUGAUGUGAAAGCCCCCGGCUCAACCGGGGAGGGUCAUUGGAAACUGGGGAACUUGAGUGCAGAAGAGGAAAGCGGAAUUCCACGUGUAGCGGUGAAAUGCGUAGAGAUGUGGAGGAACACCAGUGGCGAAGGCGGCUUUCUGGUCUGUAACUGACGCUGAGGCGCGAAAGCGUGGGGAGCAAACAG